Molecule: ribosomal RNA, 450 nt
Filed under: uncultured bacterium
Lineage: Bacteria
Description: partial 16S ribosomal RNA
Rfam family: Bacterial small subunit ribosomal RNA
Source: RNAcentral
GUGGGGAAUCUUCCGCAAUGGACGAAAGUCUGACGGAGCGACGCCGCGUGAGUGAAGAAGGCCUUCGGGUCGUAAAGCUCUGUCAUCAGGGACGAACGGCCGGUGGAGUGGAAAGCCACCGGAUUGACGGUACCUGAGAAGGAAGCCACGGCUAACUACGUGCCAGCAGCCGCGGUAAUACGUAGGUGGCAAGCGUUGUCCGGAGUUAUUGGGCGUAAAGCGCGCGCAGGUGGGAUCUUAAGUCCAUUUUGAAAGUUCGGAGCUCAACUCCGUGAUGGGAUGGAAACUGGGAUUCUUGAGGACCGGAGAGGAAAGCGGAAUUCCCCGUAUAGCGGUGAAAUGCGUAGAUAUGGGGAGGAACACCAGUGGCGAAGGCGGCUUUCUGGACGGUGUCUGACACUGAGGCGCGAAAGCCAGGGGAGCGAACGGGAUUAGAUACCCCGGUAGUCC